UACGGGGGGGGCGAGCGUUGUUCGGAAUUACUGGGCGUAAAGGGUUUGUAGGUGGCCUGCUAAGUCAGACGUGAAAUCCCUCAGCUUAACUGGGGAACUGCGUCUGAUACUGGCGGGCUUGAGGACAGGAGAGGAACGCGGAAUUCCAGGUGUAGCGGUGAAAUGCGUAGAUAUCUGGAGGAACACCGGUGGCGAAGGCGGCAUUCUGGACCGAUAUUGACGCUGAGGAGCGAAAGCCAGGGGAGCAAACGGG
RNAcentral lists this ribosomal RNA (253 nucleotides) under uncultured bacterium. RNAcentral describes it as "partial 16S ribosomal RNA". It matches the Rfam family "Bacterial small subunit ribosomal RNA", at positions 524 to 776 of the family's 1533-position model. The record is from RNAcentral.